CCCUCUCUUUGAGAGAUUCAUUGUGUGUCUCUCUCUCAGAGAGAGAGUGAUCGAUAGAGAUAAGUCAGCUCUCAGACUGCUCUGAUCUGAAAUUGCUAACUGUGUCUCAAGAACAAAUGGCAAUGACCUGUGGGAUUCCACAGGGGUCAAUUCCGGAUCCCCAAUAUUGUUCAACGUGUACAUGCUUGCUUUAGGUCAGCUGAAAGGCAGCUAUGAAGCGCAACCUUGUUGGCCACAUUUAGAGUCAUUCUGUCACUGCAUUGAGUGUAUUAGUGUGUUGGAUAAAUAACUUUCUCCAGCUAAACUCAGACAAAACUAAAAUCAUAGUCUGUUGGGUAACAGAGCAACAAAGAGAAAGUUUUAUCAGUCACCUUGGGACUCUCAGUAAAACUUAAUACCGGUAAUCAAAUUAGCAACCUAGCAGCAACAUUCGACUGAUACUUGAAUAUUAACAGCCACAUUAAAUCGACAACAGUGACCGCUCCUUUUUUACCAUCUAACAACAUUGCCCAAAUCAAAAUAAUGGUUUGCAAACCUGACUUAAAAGGUAAAAUAACAGUUACAGUAAAGUUUUUGUUUCAUUGGAGGGUGAGCGGUGGACUUCACGCAACAAAUUGUAGCAUCCGCCAUGUGCCUGUUCUUAGUCUUGAGUAUAAUUCAAUAUAUCAGCCUUACAAGCAAGCUGAUAAUUGUCCUAAAACAAGACAGUGACUUCAUUCAUAAGUCCAGAAAGAAGUCCUAAAAGUCUUUAAAACCAACGUCGUCCUUCAUACUUAAGAACAAAGUGCCCACGAGAUUAGGAAAAUGCAUGCUUUCCUAUAAUUUGCUAACGACUUCCUAAAGACCGCAAUGAACUAGUCAAAUCCUGGUCAAGAUGACUUCAUCCCGAUGUCCUUUCCUGUUUCCAGUGUUUUCCAAACAAACUGCUCAUUUCCUCACGCCUCCUUGUGGUGGUCAUUGCUAAAAAUGAUGCGGGUGUGUUGGAACGUGUUCAGUGAGGUUUUUAUCUUCAGAACAAACCAGGCCCUCGCUUCCUAAUAAUUCAUUGUUUGUCUGUGCCAGGGGUAAAGUUAUUGCGCAAGCAGUUAACCUACUAGACCACCCACGCCAAACAAUGAUGGGGUCCCUAGCGCGAGCGCUCUUCAGGACCCCGUCCAAGGAGUCCAGGAAGAGGUGAGUACUCAGAAAUACGGUUUGGUGCCCAAAUAAACAGGCAGAACCCGUCCCGCCACCUGAUGGCGGAGGAAGGCAACCCCCUCUUCCACCGGGGUGUACCUCAGCCACUGAGCCACAUGGCAACAAGUAUACCCACGCCUGCUCAGAACCUCCCUCUUUGGGCAACUCCAGAGCAGAACAGUGUCCACCACAGAUCAGGCUCCUUCCCGGCCAGAGAAAUGACAUUGCACGUCCUGAGAGCCAGCUCUGCCUCCACCUAGCUCUCUGCUCACCGGACCUCUUUAGCCGCUCCCACAGGGUCACAAAGUCCCACACAACUCGGCUCCAAGGGGACACACCAACCUCCCCCUACCACGACAAGGUGAUAGCUCAGGGAGGGGAGGGGUGUGUGUGUGUGGGGGGGGGGGUAUUUUUAUUUCUGUCUAAUGUCAAAAACAAUAUGUCAGUGUUAACACUAUCAUUACAUG
Hippocampus zosterae (dwarf seahorse) is the source of this 1643-nucleotide long non-coding RNA. RefSeq lists it as uncharacterized. NCBI's taxonomy places the organism in Eukaryota, Metazoa, Chordata, Actinopteri, Syngnathiformes, Syngnathidae. The transcript has 3 exons. The record is from RefSeq and is a predicted model, not a curated record.